UUUCAAUUAGUAUCACAGCUGUGUCAUUAUUAACUUGAACUGUAGUUGUCAACUUGAGACUUCCAUAGAGCAAUGUAGUUAAAUCUGUUGAAAGCAGAAACAAAAUACAAAACUUAAUACUUUUCUUCUUCAGAACUUUAUCAAAUGAUGAGCUGUAUAGUAAUUGUUUGCAUAUGCAGUCAUACUCAGAAGGGGUGGAUUUGGGUCAGCAGUGGAUGGGCCUCUUGGUGUAGAUUGCUCUGAUGUGGUUUGAUCAAAUGAAGUUCCGCUGGUGGUGGGGUUGGUUGAUGUACUAUGAUGUGGUGUACUUGUACUUGUAGGAGGAAAAAUAUCAAAGAAACCUGAGGUUAUAGUUUUUGUUGUGGUUGUCUCAGGUGUGGUUGACAUAGUUGUCUCAGGUGUACUUGUAGGAGGGCUGGUUGGUUUCAUAGCUGUUGGGACAUGAGUGAUCAUUUCAGGAAAAAUCUCUGAGGUUAUAGUUUUUGAUGUGGUUGUCUCAGGUGUGGUUGACAUAGUUGUCUCAGGUGUACUGGUAAAAGGGCUGGUUGGUUUCAUAGCUGUACUUGAGGUUGGGUCAUGAGUUGAUGUACUUGUUUCAAGGAUACUUGAGGUUGUAGCAUGUUCAGUUGUGCUUGUUGGAAGAUAGGUUGAUGUGGUUCUUUCAUUUGUAAUCCCAGUUGUUGGAGAAUUUGUUGUAGUAACUGUUAUAGGCAUGCUGGUGGAGAUGGUGUAGAUUGGUGUAGAUUGCUCUGAUGUGGUUUGAUCAAAUGAAGUUCCGCUGGUGGUGGGGUUGGUUGAUGUAGCUGGUUCAGUAGUACUUGGAAGGUUGGUUGACGUAAUAUGAUGUGGUGUACUUGUACUGGUAGAAGGGCUGGUUGAUGUCUUAGCUGUACUUGAGGUUGGGUCAUGAGUGGUCACUUCAAAAGGAGGAUCAGGGAAAUCUGAGAUUGGAGUUUUUGAUGUGGUUGUUGAAGGUGUGGAUGACACAGUUGUCUCAGGUGUACUAAUCGAAGGGCUGGUUGAUGUCUUAGCGGUACUUGAUGCAGCUGAUACUGGAAGGGUGACUGGUGUAGUCGUUUUUGAUGUGGUUGUUGAAGAUGUGGUUAAGGUAGUUGACUCCGAUGUGCUUGCAGUUGUUGGAGAACGUGUCGAUUGUUCAGAAGUACUUACAGUUAUUGAAGGGGAGGUUGGUGUUAUUUCAGAUGUAUAUGCUGGAGAGGUGACUGGUGUAGUUGAAGGUGUGGUUGACGUAGUUGAAGGUGUGGAUGGGAUGCUAGAUGCAGUACUUCCUGAAGUAUUAGAAGUUGUCUGUGUUGAUGCUGUGAACAAAAAGUUGUU
Long non-coding RNA from Clupea harengus (Atlantic herring), 1338 nucleotides. NCBI's taxonomy places the organism in Eukaryota, Metazoa, Chordata, Actinopteri, Clupeiformes, Clupeidae. The record is from Ensembl.